This 423-nucleotide ribosomal RNA is filed under the name Escherichia coli. RNAcentral describes it as "partial 23S ribosomal RNA". It matches the Rfam family "Bacterial large subunit ribosomal RNA", at positions 2499 to 2916 of the family's 2925-position model. Lineage: Bacteria; Pseudomonadati; Pseudomonadota; Gammaproteobacteria; Enterobacterales; Enterobacteriaceae. The record is from RNAcentral.
UUCAUAUCGACGGCGGUGUUUGGCACCUCGAUGUCGGCUCAUCACAUCCUGGGGCUGAAGUAGGUCCCAAGGGUAUGGCUGUUCGCCAUUUAAAGUGGUACGCGAGCUGGGUUUAGAACGUCGUGAGACAGUUCGGUCCCUAUCUGCCGUGGGCGCUGGAGAACUGAGGGGGGCUGCUCCUAGUACGAGAGGACCGGAGUGGACGCAUCACUGGUGUUCGGGUUGUCAUGCCAAUGGCACUGCCCGGUAGCUAAAUGCGGAAGAGAUAAGUGCUGAAAGCAUCUAAGCACGAAACUUGCCCCGAGAUGAGUUCUCCCUGACCCUUUAAGGGUCCUGAAGGAACGUUGAAGACGACGACGUUGAUAGGCCGGGUGUGUAAGCGCAGCGAUGCGUUGAGCUAACCGGUACUAAUGAACCGUGAGG